GCAGGAAUGGCGGAAUUGGCAGACGCGCACGGUUCAGGUCCGUGUGAAAGCAAUUUCAUGAGGGUUCAAGUCCCUCUUCCUGCA
RNAcentral lists this transfer RNA (84 nucleotides) under Lachnospiraceae bacterium. RNAcentral's name for it is "tRNA-Leu". It matches the Rfam family "tRNA". From Rfam's summary of the family: Transfer RNA (tRNA) molecules are approximately 80 nucleotides in length. RNAcentral also lists the same sequence under 1 other name. Lineage: Bacteria; Bacillati; Bacillota; Clostridia; Lachnospirales; Lachnospiraceae. The record is from RNAcentral.